UACAGGUCUGGUCUCUCUACUGCCCCCUCUGGGGAUAAUAGAUACAGGUCUACUGCCCCCUCUGGGGAUAAUAGAUACAGGUCAGUUCUCUCUACUGCCCCCUCUGGGGAUAAUAGAUACAGGUCAGUUCUCUCUACUGCCCCCUCUGGGGAUAAUAGAUACAGGUCUACUGCCCCCUCUGGGGAUAAUAGAUACAGGUCUACUGCCCCCUCUGGGGGUAAUAGAUACAGGUCAGUUCUCUCUACUGCCCCCUCUGGGGAUAAUAGAUACAGGUCUGCUCUCUCUACUGCCCCCUCUGGGGGUAAUAGAUACAGGUCAGUUCUCUCUACUGCCCCCUCUGGGG
Molecule: long non-coding RNA, 343 nt
Filed under: Salmo salar (Atlantic salmon)
Lineage: Eukaryota; Metazoa; Chordata; Actinopteri; Salmoniformes; Salmonidae
Description: lncRNA (ENSSSAG00000120489.1)
Source: RNAcentral